UCAUUACCGAGUGCGGGCCCUCGCGGCCCAACCUCCCACCCUUGUCUCUAUACACCUGUUGCUUUGGCGGGCCCACCGGGGCCACCUGGUCGCCGGGGGACGUCGUCCCCGGGCCCGCGCCCGCCGAAGCGCCCUGUGAACCCUGAUGAAUAUGGGCUGUCUGAGUACUAUGAAAAUUGUCAAAACUUUCAACAAUGGAUCUCUUGGUUCCGGCAUCGAUGAAGAACGCAGCGAAAUGCGAUAAGUAAUGUGAAUUGCAGAAUUCCGUGAAUCAUCGAAUCUUUGAACGCACAUUGCGCCCCCUGGCAUUCCGGGGGGCAUGCCUGUCCGAGCGUCAUUUCUGCCCUCAAGCACGGCUUGUGUGUUGGGUGUGGUCCCCCCGGGGACCUGCCCGAAAGGCAGCGGCGACGUCCGUCUGGUCCUCGAGCGUAUGGGGCUUUGUCACUCGCUCGGGAAGGACCUGCGGGGGUUGGUCACCACCAUAUUUUACCACGGUUGACCUCGGAU
This 507-nucleotide ribosomal RNA is filed under the name Talaromyces intermedius. The stretch from base 184 to 337 matches the Rfam family "5.8S ribosomal RNA". Lineage: Eukaryota; Fungi; Ascomycota; Eurotiomycetes; Eurotiales; Trichocomaceae. The record is from RNAcentral.